UAACUGAAAGUAAUGGGGGCUAGGGGCAUGUGUGGUACUUUUUCACUUGCCUUCAUUUCAUUUUUGGAUUGCCUGCCUGGUCUGUCUGUCUGCCUGAGUGCGAGUAAAUCUUCCAGUUUUGACCAUGAGCGCCUACCUUUGGGCUUUCAUCCUGUCGCUCGCCACCUGUGCAGACUCUCUGUCUGCACAGUCUAGAAUCUUCAUGUCUGCCAGAGUGGGUUCCACAGCUGUUCUGCCAUGUGACUGUAGAAAAGUGUCCACCCAAAGUCCUCAUGUUGAGUGGAAAACCAUCUCUGAGAUGGUGUUUGA
Molecule: long non-coding RNA, 309 nt
Organism: Colossoma macropomum (tambaqui)
Lineage: Eukaryota; Metazoa; Chordata; Actinopteri; Characiformes; Serrasalmidae
Exons: 3
Source: RefSeq, a predicted model, not a curated record